RNAcentral lists this long non-coding RNA (482 nucleotides) under Lynx pardinus (Iberian lynx). Lineage: Eukaryota; Metazoa; Chordata; Mammalia; Carnivora; Felidae. The record is from RNAcentral.
AAAAGCAUCGUACUAAAUACAUCUCCUAGAACCUGGUGUUUGUAAGCCACUGCUAUGCCCCUUCCACCACCACAAUCAUUACCGACACCACCAUCCCCAUCAUCAUCAUCACCAUCACCACCCUUGCCACCAUCAUCAUCAUCACCACCACCACCAUCCCCAUCAUCAUCAUCGUCACCACCACCAUCCCCAUCAUCAUCACCACCACCAUCAUCCCCAUCAUCAUCAUCACCACCACCACUACCACCAUCCCCAUCAUCAUCAUCACCAUCACCACCCUUACCACCAUCAUCACCAUCACCACUACCACCAUCCCCAUCAUCACCAGCAGUAAACCAUCUCUACUACCAUCCCUACCAUCACCACCAGCUAGUUUCCAAGAAUGAUCUCUGAGCCGUGAGUGGCUAUUCGAAUCACCAAUAUUAGGUAUGACUCAUUCAGUUGCAACACAGUUUGGUGCUACUUUUUCUCCUGAAACUCCU